GAUGAACGCUGGCGGCGUGCCUGAUACAUGCAAGUCGAGCGAACAGACGAGGAGCUUGCUCCUCUGACGUUAGCGGCGGACGGGUGAGUAACACGUGGAUAACCUACCUAUAAGACUGGGAUAACUUCGGGAAACCGGAGCUAAUACCGGAUAAUAUAUUGAACCGCAUGGUUCAAUAGUGAAAGACGGUUUUGCUGUCACUUAUAGAUGGAUCCGCGCCGCAUUAGCUAGUUGGUAAGGUAACGGCUUACCAAGGCAACGAUGCGUAGCCGACCUGAGAGGGUGAUCGGCCACACUGGAACUGAGACACGGUCCAGACUCCUACGGGAGGCAGCAGUAGGGAAUCUUCCGCAAUGGGCGAAAGCCUGACGGAGCAACGCUGCGUGAGUGAUGAAGGUCUUCGGAUCGUAAAACUCUGUUAUUAGGGAAGAACAAAUGUGUAAGUAACUAUGCACGUCUUGACGGUACCUAAUCAGAAAGCCACGGCUAACUACGUG
This 497-nucleotide ribosomal RNA is filed under the name uncultured bacterium. RNAcentral's name for it is "partial 16S ribosomal RNA". It matches the Rfam family "Bacterial small subunit ribosomal RNA", at positions 28 to 507 of the family's 1533-position model. The record is from RNAcentral.